This 71-nucleotide transfer RNA is filed under the name Longimicrobiales bacterium. RNAcentral's name for it is "tRNA-Gln". It matches the Rfam family "tRNA". From Rfam's summary of the family: Transfer RNA (tRNA) molecules are approximately 80 nucleotides in length. Their secondary structure includes four short double-helical elements and three loops (D, anti-codon, and T loops). Further hydrogen bonds mediate the characteristic L-shaped molecular structure. tRNAs have two regions of fundamental functional importance: the anti-codon, which is responsible for specific mRNA codon recognition, and the 3' end, to which the tRNAs corresponding amino acid is attached (by aminoacyl-tRNA synthetases). tRNAs cope with the degeneracy of the genetic code in two manners: having more than one tRNA (with a specific anti-codon) for a particular amino acid; and 'wobble' base-pairing, i.e. permitting non-standard base-pairing at the 3rd anti-codon position. The record is from RNAcentral. Lineage: Bacteria; Pseudomonadati; Gemmatimonadota; Longimicrobiia; Longimicrobiales.
UGGCCCGUCGUCUAACGGCAAGACACCGGUCUUUGGAACCGGCGAUGGUGGUUCGAGUCCACCCGGGCCAA